ACGGUGGAUGCCCUGGCAGUCAGAGGCGAUGAAGGACGUGCUAAUCUGCGAUAAGCGUCGGUGAGGUGAUAUGAACCGUUAUAACCGGCGAUUUCCGAAUGGGGAAACCCAGUGUGUUUCGACACACUAUCAUUAACUGAAUCCAUAGGUUAAUGAGGCGAACCGGGGGAACUGAAACAUCUAAGUACCCCGAGGAAAAGAAAUCAACCGAGAUUCCCCCAGUAGCGGCGAGCGAACGGGGAGGAGCCCAGAGCCUGAAUCAGUGUGUGUGUUAGUGGAAGCGUCUGGAAAGGCGCGCGAUACAGGGUGACAGCCCCGUACACAAAAAUGCACAUACUGUGAGCUCGAUGAGUAGGGCGGGACACGUGGUAUCCUGUCUGAAUAUGGGGGGACCAUCCUCCAAGGCUAAAUACUCCUGACUGACCGAUAGUGAACCAGUACCGUGAGGGAAAGGCGAAAAGAACCCCGGCGAGGGGAGUGAAAAAGAACCUGAAACCGUGUACGUACAAGCAGUGGGAGCCUCUUAAUGGGGUGACUGCGUACCUUUUGUAUAAUGGGUCAGCGACUUAUAUUCUGUAGCAAGGUUAACCGAAUAGGGGAGCCGAAGGGAAACCGAGUCUUAACUGGGCGUUAAGUUGCAGGGUAUAGACCCGAAACCCGGUGAUCUAGCCAUGGGCAGGUUGAAGGUUGGGUAACACUAACUGGAGGACCGAACCGACUAAUGUUGAAAAAUUAGCGGAUGACUUGUGGCUGGGGGUGAAAGGCCAAUCAAACCGGGAGAUAGCUGGUUCUCCCCGAAAGCUAUUUAGGUAGCGCCUCGUGAAUUCAUCUCCGGGGGUAGAGCACUGUUUCGGCAAGGGGGUCAUCCCGACUUACCAACCCGAUGCAAACUGCGAAUACCGGAGAAUGUUAUCACGGGAGACACACGGCGGGUGCUAACGUCCGUCGUGAAGAGGGAAACAACCCAGACCGCCAGCUAAGGUCCCAAAGUCAUGGUUAAGUGGGAAACGAUGUGGGAAGGCCCAGACAGCCAGGAUGUUGGCUUAGAAGCAGCCAUCAUUUAAAGAAAGCGUAAUAGCUCACUGGUCGAGUCGGCCUGCGCGGAAGAUGUAACGGGGCUAAACCAUGCACCGAAGCUGCGGCAGCGACACUAUGUGUUGUUGGGUAGGGGAGCGUUCUGUAAGCCUGUGAAGGUGUACUGUGAGGUAUGCUGGAGGUAUCAGAAGUGCGAAUGCUGACAUAAGUAACGAUAAAGCGGGUGAAAAGCCCGCUCGCCGGAAGACCAAGGGUUCCUGUCCAACGUUAAUCGGGGCAGGGUGAGUCGACCCCUAAGGCGAGGCCGAAAGGCGUAGUCGAUGGGAAACAGGUUAAUAUUCCUGUACUUGGUGUUACUGCGAAGGGGGGACGGAGAAGGCUAUGUUGGCCGGGCGACGGUUGUCCCGGUUUAAGCGUGUAGGCUGGUUUUCCAGGCAAAUCCGGAAAAUCAAGGCUGAGGCGUGAUGACGAGGCACUACGGUGCUGAAGCGACAAAUGCCCUGCUUCCAGGAAAAGCCUCUAAGCAUCAGGUAACAUCAAAUCGUACCCCAAACCGACACAGGUGGUCAGGUAGAGAAUACCAAGGCGCUUGAGAGAACUCGGGUGAAGGAACUAGGCAAAAUGGUGCCGUAACUUCGGGAGAAGGCACGCUGAUAUGUAGGUGAAGCGACUUGCUCGUGGAGCUGAAAUCAGUCGAAGAUACCAGCUGGCUGCAACUGUUUAUUAAAAACACAGCACUGUGCAAACACGAAAGUGGACGUAUACGGUGUGACGCCUGCCCGGUGCCGGAAGGUUAAUUGAUGGGGUUAGCGGUAACGCGAAGCUCUUGAUCGAAGCCCCGGUAAACGGCGGCCGUAACUAUAACGGUCCUAAGGUAGCGAAAUUCCUUGUCGGGUAAGUUCCGACCUGCACGAAUGGCGUAAUGAUGGCCAGGCUGUCUCCACCCGAGACUCAGUGAAAUUGAACUCGCUGUGAAGAUGCAGUGUACCCGCGGCAAGACGGAAAGACCCCGUGAACCUUUACUAUAGCUUGACACUGAACAUUGAGCCUUGAUGUGUAGGAUAGGUGGGAGGCUUUGAAGUGUGGACGCCAGUCUGCAUGGAGCCGACCUUGAAAUACCACCCUUUAAUGUUUGAUGUUCUAACGUGGGCCCCUUACCGGGGUUGCGGACAGUGUCUGGUGGGUAGUUUGACUGGGGCGGUCUCCUCCUAAAGAGUAACGGAGGAGCACGAAGGUUGGCUAAUCCUGGUCGGACAUCAGGAGGUUAGUGCAAUGGCAUAAGCCAGCUUGACUGCGAGCGUGACGGCGCGAGCAGGUGCGAAAGCAGGUCAUAGUGAUCCGGUGGUUCUGAAUGGAAGGGCCAUCGCUCAACGGAUAAAAGGUACUCCGGGGAUAACAGGCUGAUACCGCCCAAGAGUUCAUAUCGACGGCGGUGUUUGGCACCUCGAUGUCGGCUCAUCACAUCCUGGGGCUGAAGUAGGUCCCAAGGGUAUGGCUGUUCGCCAUUUAAAGUGGUACGCGAGCUGGGUUUAGAACGUCGUGAGACAGUUCGGUCCCUAUCUGCCGUGGGCGCUGGAGAACUGAGGGGGGCUGCUCCUAGUACGAGAGGACCGGAGUGGACGCAUCACUGGUGUUCGGGUUGUCAUGCCAAUGGCACUGCCCGGUAGCUAAAUGCGGAAGAGAUAAGUGCUGAAAGCAUCUAAGCACGAAACUUGCCCCGAGAUGAGUUCUCCCUGACUCCUUGAGAGUCCUGAAGGAACGUUGAAGACGACGACGUUGAUAGGCCGGGUGUGUAAGCGCAGCGAUGCGUUGAGCUAACCGGUACUAAUGAACCGUGAGGCUUAACCUU
Molecule: ribosomal RNA, 2884 nt
Filed under: Escherichia coli
Lineage: Bacteria; Pseudomonadati; Pseudomonadota; Gammaproteobacteria; Enterobacterales; Enterobacteriaceae
Description: partial 23S ribosomal RNA
Rfam family: Bacterial large subunit ribosomal RNA
Source: RNAcentral